CCAAUAGCGUAUAUUAAAGUUGUUGCAGUUAAAAAGCUCGUAGUUGAAUUUCGGGAUUGACACAUCGGUCGUGCCUUAAGGGGUAUGAACUGGUGUAGUCAAUUUCUCACCUUCUGGAGAACCACGAUGCCCUUAAUUGGGUGUCACGGGGAACCAGGACCUUUACUUUGAAAAAAUUAGAGUGUUUAAAGCAGGCAUUUUGCUUGAAUACAUUAGCAUGGAAUAAUAAAAUAGGACGGCAUGAUUCUAUUUUGUUGGUUUCUAGGAUCACCGUAAUGAUUAAUAGGGAUAGUUGGGGGCAUUAGUAUUCAAUUGUCAGAGGUGAAAUUCUUGGAUUUAUUGAAGACUAACUACUGCGAAAGCAUUUGCCAAGGAUGUUUUCAUUAAUCAAGAACGAAAGUUAGGGGAUCGAAGACGAUCAGAUACCGUCGUAGUCUUAACCAUAAACUAUGCCGACUAGGAAUCAGACGAUGUUAAUUUUUUAAUGACUCGUUUGGCACCUUACG
RNAcentral lists this unclassified non-coding RNA (506 nucleotides) under uncultured Entrophospora. RNAcentral describes it as "SSU rRNA". It matches the Rfam family "Eukaryotic small subunit ribosomal RNA", at positions 591 to 1092 of the family's 1831-position model. The record is from RNAcentral. Lineage: Eukaryota; Fungi; Glomeromycota; Glomeromycetes; Entrophosporales; Entrophosporaceae.